This 3525-nucleotide ribosomal RNA is filed under the name Candidatus Paceibacter sp. Its description in RNAcentral is "23S ribosomal RNA". It matches the Rfam family "Bacterial large subunit ribosomal RNA". The record is from RNAcentral. Lineage: Bacteria; Bacillati; Minisyncoccota; Minisyncoccia; Minisyncoccales; Candidatus Paceibacteraceae.
AGGAACCAAGGGCGUAUGGUGGAUGCCUUGACUCAAAGAGGCGAUGAAGGACGCGGCUAAGCUGCGAUAAGCUUCGGGGAGGCGCUAAGCGGCCUUUGAACCGGAGAUGUCCGAAUGGGGACAAACCCGUUCCGCUAAAAGCGGAAUAUCCCGAGAGCAAUCGAGGGAAGCGAACCCUGGGAAGUGAAACAUCUCAGUACCAGGUGGAAAAGAGAACAACGCCGACGUUAUAGUCGGCGUCCCGACCUUGCGUCGGGAUGUUAUUCCCUAAGUAGCGGCGAGCGAAAAGGGAAGAGCCCAAACUGACGUGCUUCGCACGCAGUUCAUAAAGUCCAUAAAGUUGAAAGUUUAUAAGGUGAAUUGAAUUUACUUUAUAAACUUUAAAAACUUUUGACUUUUGACUUGCGCGCGGAGCGUGUUGGGGUUGUAAGACGGCAAUUAAAGAAAGCCUAAAAAUAGUUUUGUUAGUUGAAUCCGCUGGAACGCGGAGCCAAAGAAGGUAAUAGCCUUGUAAACGAAAAUAAAACUAUGCUUUCAAUGCUGUUCUUGAGUACUUCGGGACACGAAUGGCCCGGAGGAAUCCGCCGGAACUAACCGGCAAGGCUAAAUACUCUUUGAGAUCGAUAGUGAACAAGUACCGCGAGGGAAAGGUGAAAAGCAGCCCGGUGAGGGCGAUGAAAUAGAACCUGAAACCAUAUGUCUACAAGGAAUCGGAGCGUGCGCAGCACGCGGAUAUUUAAAUAUUUAAAUGUUUAAAUUUCGCGCGCUGCGCGCGCGACGGUGUGCCUAUUGAAGAAUGAGCCAACGAGUUAAUUUGUGCUGCUUGCUUAAGCCGUUAUAAGCGGCGAAGGCGCAGCGAAAGCGAGUCUUAAAAGGGCGUUCGUAGUACAAAUUAGACCCGAAGCCAGGUGAUCUUACCACGGACAGGGUGAAUUCCGGCGAAAGCCGGGAGGAGGCCCGAACCCAUUAGCCGUGCAAAACUAUGGGAUGAUCUGUGGUAUGGAGUGAAAAGCUCAUCGAACUUGGUAAUAGCUGGUUCUCUCCGAAAUAGCUUUAGGGCUAGCGUCCGUUUUACCUUCCGGGGGUAGAGCACUGGAUGAUUCGCACAGGGAGAAAUCUCGGCAAAUCAAUCAAACUCCGAAUACCGGAAGUCAUUGACGGGCAGUCAGACCGUGGGGGCUAAGCUUCACUGGUCAAAAGGGGAACAGCCCGAAUCUCAAUCUAAGGUCCCUAAAUUUUCGCUAAGUGCGCUUAAGGAAGUGGAAUUUCUCUGACAGCGAGGAGGUUGGCUUAGAAGCAGCCAUCCUUUAAAGAGUGCGUAACAGCUCACUCGUCAAGAGGUUCCGCGCCGCAAAUAAUCGGGGCUAAGCGAAAUACCGAAGGUGAGGGAGCAAGCUUUGCUUGCUCGGUAGGAGAGUAUUCGCAUCCGCAGUGAAGUACACGCCGCGAGGCGGUAUGGAGCGUUGCGAAGUAAGAAUGUUGGCACAAGUAACCACAAUUCCGGUGAAAUACCGGAACGCCGCAAACCUAAGGUUUCCUUGACAACGUUAAUCGAUCAAGGGUUAGUCGGGCCUAAGCCGAUGGCGAAAGCCGCAGGCGAUGGACACACGGUUAAUAUUCCGUGACUUCCGCGCGUUGUGAUGGGAGGACGGAGUCUAGUAUGUUUUGCGCAUUAUUGGAUUUGCGUUCGGGUCGUGAGGGGGGCUUCCAGGAAAAUCCGGAAGCGGGCCGCAAGGUAAUCUCCAAGCGAAGCGAAGACUUACGGGUUCGCCCGUGGGGAUAAAACGGAGCAGGCUUCCAAGAAAAAUCUCUAAACUUAAACGCGUGGGAACCGUACCGAAAACCGACACAGGUGGGUGAGUCGAGUAGACUAAGGCGAACGAGUGAGAGUUUCCCAAGGAACUAGGCAAAAAAGCAGCCGUAACUUCGGGAUAAGGCUUCCCGAUACUACAACUUUACGCGCGAUAUUUAUUUUGAAAUAGCCAAAUUUUGAAAAAAAGUUUGUCUUUCAUGUAUCUAUCGUUUGUAGAGCUGUAGUAUCGGGCGCAGCGAAAGUUUCUCUGGCGACUGUUUACCUAAAACACAGCUCCCUGCGAACUCGCAAGAGGAUGUAUAGGGGGCGACGCUUGACCAAUGCGAGAAGGUCAAAAUGCGCUGGUCGCAUCAGCAAUGGUGCGGCUGCCGUGCAUUAAGCCCUCGUGAAUGUCGGCCGUAACUAUAACGGUCCUAAGGUAGCGAAAUUCCUUGUCAGGUAAUUGAAUUGCCUGUUCCGAUAGCGAUAUCGGAAAAAAAUCGGCUAAUAACGGUGAAGUCCUCGUUGGAGUUCUAAUAUCAAGGUUAGAACGAUGAAGGCAGGAUAAUACCGUGGGAACCCAAUCCAAAAGAUUGGAGGCAUUCCGCCAUCCGCCAACUAGCGGAGCGGAGUGGUCCCGUAACGACUGGAGUCACUGCUGGAUAGUGGUGACAAAGAUAGCUAUGCGAAGUAUAAUGAAAUUGUGAAAAAGCAACGCUAUAAUACGCCGACGCUGAAUAGAGAGAAGCGAUAUUAAAAUCUAUUCAGAUGAAGAUAUAGUCUAUGCCCUUAUGAAAAUAGGGGGUAAAACAUGAAGUUCUGACGCGCACGAAUAGCGUAACGACCGGAGAACUGUCUCGGGAAAUUGCUCGGUGAAAAUACAAUACCGGUGAAGAUGCCGGUUACCUGCAGCUAGACGAAAAGACCCCGGAAGCUUUACUGCAACUUGGUAUUGGCUUUAGGUUUUUGAUGCGUAGCAUAGGUGGGAGGCUUUGAAGUGCCGCUUUUGGGCGGCAUGGAGCCGCCAGUGAAAUACCACUCUUUAAAAACUUAAAAUCUAACCUUCGCGGCAAAAACGCGAGGAGACAGUUCCUGGUGGGCAGUUUGUUUGGGGCGAAUCCCUCCUAAAAGGUAACGGAGGGGUCUACUAAGGUCGGCUAGGCGCGGAUGGAAACCGCGCUGGUAGCGUAAUGGCAAAAGCCGGCUUAACUGCGAGACGGACAGGUCGAGCAGAUGCGAAAGCAGAGCAUAGUGAACCGCUGGUCCGCAUUAGACGCGGCCAAAGAUUAACGGAUAAAAGCUACUCCGGGGAUAACAGGCUGGUAGUGCCCAAGAGUUCAUAUCGACGGCACUGUUCGGCACCUCGAUGUCGGCUCAACCUAUCCUGGGGCUGGAGAAGGUCCCAAGGGUUUGGCUGUUCGCCAAUUAAAAGGUUACGUGAGCUGGGUUCAAACCGUCGUGAGACAGGUUGGUCUCCUAUCUGCUGCAGGCGUUAGAUUCUUGAGGGGAUCCGCUCUCUGUACGAGAGGAUCAGAGUGGACCGACCUCUGGUGUGCCAGCUGUUCCGCCAGGAGCACCGCUGGGUAGCUAUGUCGGGAAGGGAUAAUCGCUGAAAGCAUCUAAGCGAGAAACCCACCCCAAGAUUAGGAAUCAUAGACAGGUUGAAGAUUACGACCUUGAUAGGCUUUAGGUGUAAACACAGCAAUGUGUUCAGCCGAGAAGUACUAAUUGUC